AAUGAAAGAGUAUAAUCGUAGUAGGGCUGCUAACUUUACUAUAAAUGUGGCUUGCAUUUUCUUUCAUUU
RNAcentral lists this transfer RNA (69 nucleotides) under Perna perna. RNAcentral's name for it is "tRNA-Ser". Lineage: Eukaryota; Metazoa; Mollusca; Bivalvia; Mytilida; Mytilidae. The record is from RNAcentral.